This 28-nucleotide non-coding RNA is filed under the name Cricetulus griseus (Chinese hamster). The record is from RNAcentral. Lineage: Eukaryota; Metazoa; Chordata; Mammalia; Rodentia; Cricetidae.
AAGAGCUUAGGAUUCUCCACCAGAGGCG